UACAGAGGGUGCGAGCGUUGUUCGGAAUUACUGGGCGUAAAGCGCGCGCAGGCGGCCGUUUAAGUCUACCCGUGAAAUGCCGGGGCUCAACCCCGAGCACGCCGGGGGAUACUGGACGGCUGGAGACACGUAGAGGCAAGCGGAAUUCCGGGUGUAGCGGUGGAAUGCGUAGAGAUCCGGAAGAACACCGGAGGCGAAGGCGGCUUGCUGGGCGUGAUCUGACGCUGAGGUGCGAAAGCGUGGGGAGCAAACAGG
This 255-nucleotide ribosomal RNA is filed under the name uncultured bacterium. Its description in RNAcentral is "partial 16S ribosomal RNA". It matches the Rfam family "Bacterial small subunit ribosomal RNA", at positions 524 to 776 of the family's 1533-position model. The record is from RNAcentral.